This is a non-coding RNA of Vicia faba (fava bean), 225 nucleotides long. The record is from the annotation of a GenBank genome assembly. NCBI's taxonomy places the organism in Eukaryota, Viridiplantae, Streptophyta, Magnoliopsida, Fabales, Fabaceae.
AUGCAAAAUGGUAUUAAGCUUCAGACAAAGCACCUGGAGGCCUUGAUUGAAUUACACAAUAUGACCGAGUCCUUUGCGAGGAACAUUCAACACUUAUUUUCUGGUUCUGACGUACAAGUUUUAAUGGAUGUGCUGAAAGUCGUGUACUUGGCAUAUGAAUCGCUUAAACAGAGGAAUAUAUUUAAGAGGAGCUGUAACCCGAGGGGUAGGAGCCCAAGGAGUUGA